UACGGAGGGUGCAAGCGUUAAUCGGAAUUACUGGGCGUAAAGCGCACGUAGGCGGACCGUUAAGUCGGAGGUGAAAGCCUGGGGCUCAACCCCAGAACUGCCUUCGAUACUGGCGGUCUUGAGUAUGGUAGAGGUUGGUGGAACUCCGAGUGUAGAGGUGAAAUUCGUAGAUAUUCGGAAGAACACCAGUGGCGAAGGCGGCCAACUGGACCAUUACUGACGCUGAGGUGCGAAAGCGUGGGGAGCAAACAGGG
RNAcentral lists this ribosomal RNA (254 nucleotides) under uncultured bacterium. Its description in RNAcentral is "partial 16S ribosomal RNA". It matches the Rfam family "Bacterial small subunit ribosomal RNA", at positions 524 to 777 of the family's 1533-position model. The record is from RNAcentral.